Molecule: long non-coding RNA, 706 nt
Filed under: Cricetulus griseus (Chinese hamster)
Lineage: Eukaryota; Metazoa; Chordata; Mammalia; Rodentia; Cricetidae
Description: lncRNA (ENSCGRG00015043032.1)
Source: RNAcentral
ACAAAUGGGUUGCUAAGAGACAUUGAUGUGAGGAAGAGAUGGACUGCUGAGUUGAGAACAGCAGGGAACCGCUCCUGGGGCCACAGACAGCAGGCCCAAGCAGCUCUGUGACUCUGAGUUUUGGUCCCAUGUUCAUUAGUUUGACAGGAUGAUCAUUAUAAAAUAUCCCAGGCCAUGUGACUUAAACAGUGGGGACUCAUUUCCUCACAGGACUAGAAGCAGAAGUUCAAGAUCAAGUUAUAGGCAGGGUUGCUCUCUCUGACUUACCAAGGGAGUCUUCUCCAUUGCUUCGGCCUGGUCUAUCCCUCCGUGUGGUCUCUGUUCUGCUUGAAAGACCCUCAGAGCGAGGAGCCUCCACAAAUUGGACAGUUUCCCCCAAAAAACUCAAUGUCCAGUCCAGCUGAUGUAAAAACAAGAGUUCUCAGGGUACUCCAUGGAUUGAACUCAGCAGAAGCCUGGGAGCAGUGGGGUGUGCAAUGCAAUUCUGGGUCAGCUUCCUCCGGCAGAAGAAAACGACACAGGCCAGGUGUGCUGGCCUAUACUUUUAACUCACUACUUCGGAGACUGAGACAGGAGGAUCUCCGUGAGUUCGGGGCCAGACUGGUCUACAGAGACGAUGGAGACAGGUGAAGCAGAGCAGACUGACACCGAGAAGGGCUCCGAAAUUUGAAAUAAGUCUCUCAGUCUACACGUUUAAUAAAUCAAG